RNAcentral lists this ribosomal RNA (429 nucleotides) under Chloroflexota bacterium. RNAcentral describes it as "Chloroflexi bacterium partial 16S ribosomal RNA". It matches the Rfam family "Bacterial small subunit ribosomal RNA", at positions 355 to 776 of the family's 1533-position model. Lineage: Bacteria; Bacillati; Chloroflexota. The record is from RNAcentral.
UGGGGAAUAUUGCACAAUGGGCGCAAGCCUGAUGCAGCCAUGCCGCGUGUAUGAAGAAGGCCUUCGGGUUGUAAAGUACUUUCAGUCGGGAGGAAGGUGUCAAGGUUAAUAACCUUGGCAAUUGACGUUACCGACAGAAGAAGCACCGGCUAACUCCGUGCCAGCAGCCGCGGUAAUACGGAGGGUGCAAGCGUUAAUCGGAAUUACUGGGCGUAAAGCGCACGCAGGCGGUUGAUUGAGUCAGAUGUGAAAUCCCCGGGCUUAACCCGGGAAUUGCAUCUGAUACUGGUCAGCUAGAGUCUUGUAGAGGGGGGUAGAAUUCCAUGUGUAGCGGUGAAAUGCGUAGAGAUGUGGAGGAAUACCGGUGGCGAAGGCGGCCCCCUGGACAAAGACUGACGCUCAGGUGCGAAAGCGUGGGGAGUAAACAGG